UACGUAGGGUGCAAGCGUUAAUCGGAAUUACUGGGCGUAAAGCGUGCGCAGGCGGUUUUGUAAGUCUGUCGUGAAAUCCCCGGGCUCAACCUGGGAAUUGCGAUGGAGACUGCAAGGCUAGAAUCUGGCAGAGGGGGGUAGAAUUCCGACGUGUGAGCAGUGAAAUGCGUAGAGAUGUGGAGGAACACCGAUGGCGAAGGCAGCCCCUGGGCCGGAACUGACGCUG
Molecule: ribosomal RNA, 226 nt
Filed under: uncultured bacterium
Lineage: Bacteria
Description: partial 16S ribosomal RNA
Rfam family: Bacterial small subunit ribosomal RNA
Source: RNAcentral